AUGAACAAGUGCAUCCCUGCCAAUGGAAUUAGUCUGAAGUUUGAGAAAAACCCAACCAAUAAUGGCCUAUUUGACGGGGUUUCUUUUAUCACAAGAAGCCCCAAGGAAGGCAGUUGUUGAUAGUGGUUCCACUGUUCAUUACGAAAGACCCAGGGUCUGUCUAUAUUUUCUGCCAUCUUUAGAGUUUUUUGUCUCAUUUGGUCUUGAGAUGACUCUCAUAAUGCAAUUUAUACAAAUUCAAGACAAAAGAGCAAGGGCAGUACUAAUUAGAACUUUUCUCUAUUUUAUUUUUCUUUUUGGUACCAGGGAUUGAAUUUAUGCGUGCUUAACCACUGAGCCACGUCCCUAUCCCUUUUUAUAUUUUAUUUUGCUUAGGGCCUCCCUAAAUUGCUGAGGCUGGUCUUGAACAUGUGAUCUUCCUGCCCCAGUCUCUCAAACCACUGGGAUUACAGGCCAAUGCCACUGUACCCAGCAGAACUUUUCUCUUUUUGACAGUGCUGUGUACUGGAUCAUAUUCCCACCCCCACAGUUUUUACGUUGGAACUCUAAUCCCUAAUGUGACGAUGUGUAGCAUGGGCCUUUGGGAAGUAAAUGAAAAAACUUAUUUCUCUAUUCACAAGACGCUUCUUCAGACACCAGGUGUUCCUUUUUUGCCCAAGCUAUUCUCCAAUUCUCUGAGGACAUUGAUUGGGUGUCUUAUGAUUUAUUUCAGUUCUGACAUUGUCUGCCUUGAGUCAGAAAGGCACUGCACUUACAUCUGCCACUUGUAAUCCCAGUGACUCUGGAUGCUGAGGCAGGAAGAUGGCAAGUUCAAGGCCAGCCUGAGCAACCUAGUGAGAGCCUGUCUCAAAAUAAAAAAAUCAAAAAAAGGCUGGGGAUAUAGCUUAGUGGUAAAGAGCCCCUGGGUUCUCAAUCCCCAGUACUAAAGUAAGAAUAAUACAACUCAAGAAUAAUGAAGUGGAAGAGACGCGUAGGCAAAAUAUGGUGAGGCGGUGUGGAACUUCCAUGUCCUGUCUGUGGUUUGAAGUAUUCACCUACUCAGAAGUUCUCUGAACCCCAUCAUUUAGUAUAUUUUUAAUGGAAGUUCUGUAAGCAUGAUGAUUAAAUCACUGGUGAUUGUGCUCACUCUCUAGUUCCUCUUCCCUUCCAGAAAUUAUGGGCUGGGACUGAAAGUCCCCCCUCUGAUCAUGUGUUUCACUCUCUAGCAAUCAGACCCCAACCUCAAGGAGUCACCUCAUUAACAUAAAGUUAGAAGUGGCUGGAGAGGGCUUAUUAUGAUUAAAGAUACUGCUUUCACCCCUAGCACUCAGGAAAUUCCAAGAAUUUUUAAAUGCUCUCUGUCAGGAACUGGGGAAAUGAUCAAAUAUGUAUUUCUUACUGUAUCGCAGUGUCACAGGAGGUAAUCUGACAUAGAUAGGUUAUGAGGAUGGGGUCCUCGUGAUUAUAGAAGAAGAGAUACCUGCGAGCUUGUGUGUUGUCUUCUGCGGAAUGCCUCCACCCUCCCCAUGUCAUGAGAGGACACAGUAUUUGAAAAUCAGCGUAAUUCACUACAUCAACAGACUAUAGUAGAAAAACUACAUACUUCUCUCAUGUAGGAAAAGGAAGUGUAAUUCAGAUACAUGGUGUGAAUAUUUUCAUGGUUAUCUGUAGUUCAGGUCAUCUCAAAGUGAGAGUUGAAGUCCCACAGUCACCUGCUAGGUGCUCAGAAUACCAAGACAAUACAAGUUAUCAUCAAAUGGACUUCUUUUACCAUCUCCCAUGUAUAGUACUUACCAAGUUCUCUGGCGCUAGGUGUUGUCCCUGGCAUCUGCUACAAAUUCUUUCCCUUCUGAGGGAUCAGACUGUCACUUACUUGCCUGAUCUCAAGACACUUCUUUGCUGAUUAUAUAUGCCCCUCUGAAGUCUGUUCUGAUAGGUUCUCUACACAUGCUUGUGACAGUGGGUCAAAAAGAGUACUUGCAGUGCCUUCUCCAACCCAGGAGAAAAUGUAAGAGGUACUAGUGCUUCCCUAGAUCCUGCUGGUGGUGGCCUGCUUUCAAAAACUAGGAAGAUCUAAUAUGUUCUUUUAAAAAAAAUUUUUAGUUGUACAUGGGCAUAGUACCUUUAUUUAUUUUUAUGUGGUUCUGAGGAUCAAACCCAGUGCCUCACAUGUGCAAGGCAAGUGCUCUACCACUGAGCCACAACCCCAGCCCCUAAUAUGUUCUUCAGUGAGGAAAGGGUGGGAUUUCUUGCUUUAUCCAGGAAAGUUGUUAUUAUCUCAUUAUUUGAGAAGUUUCAAUGAAUUAUAAAAAUAUGUUUUAUGUUUCCAUGCUUCAGAACUAAGAAACCUCUCUUCUAAAACAGAUUUCUUUAAUUCCAUAUUUCUGACUUCACAUUUUAGGCAUCUUUCAUUUCACUCAUUAUUCAGAAUUUAUAUAUUAACCUUCAUAACUUCACAUUAUUUUGUUUCACAACAUUUUAGCUUAUUUUCUAUGUUUUCAUCUAUGAGGAGCAACCAUUUUUUUCAAAAUGUUGAUGUAUAAGUUUAUUGUAUUUACUAGAAGUGGGUCAAAUUUGGCCUUAGGAAGCCACCAUACAUUCUUACAUAAUGAACUGCUACGUAACUUUGUAUGUAAACUAAAUGACUUACUUUUGUAACAAAUGGCUGAGUCUCAGCCAAGCAUAGCAGUUAAGCUUCAGUCUAUUACAACUGUUCAGCCCAUGUUCAAAUAAGGCAAAUGCGGAGCAGUAACCAGUUAAACUCUGUCUGUACCUCAUUUCUGUUUUCUGUCCAUAAAUGCCUGACCACAUUGCACCUCUGGAGUUUCUCUGAAUCCAUUCUGGUUUUGAGGGCUGUGUAGUUCUCAAAUCAUUCUUUGUUCAAUUAAACGCUGC
This 2874-nucleotide long non-coding RNA is filed under the name Marmota monax (woodchuck). Lineage: Eukaryota; Metazoa; Chordata; Mammalia; Rodentia; Sciuridae. The record is from RNAcentral.